This is a long non-coding RNA of Cygnus atratus (black swan), 5112 nucleotides long. RefSeq lists it as uncharacterized. The transcript is spliced from 3 exons. Lineage: Eukaryota; Metazoa; Chordata; Aves; Anseriformes; Anatidae. The record is from RefSeq and is a predicted model, not a curated record.
UUGUGGAACAUGGGAUGAGCGUGCAGAGGUUGGGUUGCUUGUUGCAUGAAAGUUAUGCUGAAAUAGUAUGGCAGGGAAGUAGUUUAAAAUGGCUUCUUGGUGAUCUGCUGCAAAGUGCACCAAAGCCAGGAGCAGAAUGAAAUUGUGUUAGACUACUAGUGGUAAGUCCAUGCCUAUCUCAGGAGCUCUCCGCCAUGUGUAGUGAACAUGAAGUGACUCUGUGCUGACACCUCUGGAGACCUCAAAACCCUCUUGUGUUCCUUCGUGUCCUGAUGAGUGGAUCAAUUUCUGGAUUUGGUGAACCGAGGCAGCACGUUCUGAUGCCAUGUGUAUGGUUGUUCCAUUAGAGACCUCUCUAAGUCAACUGGAAAUCUGAUUCUGGCUUACCACUAGUAUAACCUUUUAUUAAUAGAAACCUUCUCCUCUUUGACAUGGCCCUCCCCAAACUCUUUCUUGUUGCCAGAAUCCUCUGGGUUACAGAAAAGGUACUAGUAGGCAGGCUUGUUGCUGAAAAGGGCAACUUGGUGACAUGCUACAGGUGGUCUUAUAGAAAAGUUCACUUCCUCUGCUGCUAAUCAUCUGAAAACAAAAUAGGCAGAGAGGACAGAAAAACUAACCCUAACUUCUUGUUGGCUGCUUCCAUUUUUGUCUCGUGAGCUCAGAAAUAUAUUAGGCAAGAUGCAAGCUUCUGUGGUGAGAUAAAAACUUAAUGCAUUCUUUGUAGCAGCAGUAUUUUUAGUAACUAGUAGAGAGCAAUUUGCUGCUGGGCAGUUUAGCUCUGUUCUUGUGUUAUUGGUUAUAUGCUGAUACUACGUAGUAGCCUGCAAGUUUGCUGGGUGGUCAGCCUCUCAUUUGUGUUUUCAAGAGACCAGUGCUGUUCUGUUGGUUAUUGUGUUGUUUUUAGGGCGGGAGUCUCUUGGUGCAGAGCUUUGGUUUGCCUUUUGCUUGUUAGGAAGGGCACGCCAGUUUUACUGGUGAUGGGUGAGAUGACAGCUGUCGCUUUGGAAAGGUUGCAGGAUGUGCCACAGCGAAGGUGCUGCAAGAAUUUAUUGGUUAUUUUCCAGUUAUUUACAUGGUUGUGCCAGUCAAGUCAUAGCGGCAUAUCAUACUCUAUGACCCGUUUUUUCAAAAGCUGGACAUAAAAUGCUGAAAAAUUAGAGAUUGCACCAUUUCUAUGAGAAGGAAAGGCUGGAUCCCAAGCCUGCUGAAAUCAGUGAGGACCCCAUGGCAUGCCUAACCAGAUUCUGAGCUCCAAGGUUGCCAGGCUUAAGUUUCAUAGCUCCUAGUCCAGGGAGUGCAACUAGACUGAGGGAGGCUUUUUCCAGAGUGGCGACUGCUUUACAUCUCCUCUAAGGCAUGAGAACACGUUGAUGGUAAUCUUGUUUUAAAAAAAUUGGCUACGGCGCUUGUCUAUGCAUGAGCAGGAGCUGGCUCAUGGCGUGGUGCUGCAUUCCUUCUAAAGGCAAACUUCCUGUUGCUUGACAGAGAAUUGCAUCCUUCGUAAAACACACCGUGAGGCCAACGGGUAAUUGUAAACAUAGGAAGAUCCACUCCUCUAAGCAUUUCUAUGCCCGCGUAGUGUUAGUCACAGAAUUGUCAGUUCCAUACUGAUCUUGAGGAGGAAAUAUGCAUGCAUCAAGCUUGGCAAGUCAACAAUUUUCUGCAGAAUUGGUUUCAAAGUAUAUCUUUUUAAAUUCCUAACCCUUAAACUCUCUAGAUUGGAGAUGUGAGAGUGCUGCACUGAAGUUUGAGUAGGAUUUUUAAAGAAAGGAAACAAAACAGAGGCUUUCUUACAUAGGUAGUAGAAAAUCCUCUUACACCUCAGUUGGGUUCCUGGACUCUGCUAAAUAGUGUUGGUGAUCAGACAGCCCUCCUGAGAAAUGUGGGCUUUCUGAUAUCUUCUAAGUCUGGUAAUGACUGCUAAAUAAUCCUAAACACCAAAAGUAUGCCAUUACCAAAAUACUCUAGAAUUUAUUUUAGUUUGUUAGUACUUAUUAGUGUUAUAGUGCUCUACAAGAAGCAGUGAGCUUUUUUUUUUCCUCUUAAGAGGAGAAAAAGCAGAUCUAGAAGGCAAAACUGCCUUUGUUGCCCUAUAGCCUGUUUCCCCUAAACUUUUUGCUUCUAGGCACUUAUAAUCUAUAUAGGCAGAGAUUGUGAUAGAUAAUGUCACCCUUUGUGCAUUUCAGAUAAGCAUCUCUCUAAACACAAAUGUGAUCAGCAUCUCUCCUUGUCCUUUUGAGACUCAGUAACAGCUUUGUCGAGUGGCUUGAUAAUUUUUGCGCAAAAUUCAGUUGGACUUCUGUGGUCAGCAGCAUGUAAAAAUGACGUGGGAAGAUCUUCAGUUGAGCUCCGUUACCUGAGCAGCCACGAUGCUGAUGGACUCCAGCUCACGCACACACACAAAGCUGAUACCUUGCUGUGAGGCCAUUGGCGACCGGAGUAGAGUCCGACACCAAAUUCCUUCAUUUCACCUUCAGCCCAGUUGUGUGAAGCCCACAUGAUGAUGGUGUGAGUGUUUCUCUGCCUUGGUGGCAUUUGGUGGCUCAAUCCCUCAGCUGCUCCUCGGUGGAUGGAUGCACUAAGCUGCAGACCAGUGUGACAAGACAGGGGCAUAGGAAUGCUCUCCAUUUUAUAGACAAGGCACUGAGGUCCUGUGGCACCUGUGUUUCCUAAGAAACAGUCCAGAAAAUCAAAUGGCACCCCUUGUAGAGGUCCAGAUGCCUUCCUGGCCUCCCUGUGCUGUGGAAGGGGUGUAAGUUCACCUUCUUGUGUCCCCAGCUGUGCCCUGGCCUUGCUGGCCCAGCAGAAUGGAGCCAUUUUCCCUAUUUCCUGGCUCCUCCUGCUGCUAUGGACUCGGUGGUACCAGCGCUGCCCACCCCAUCCCCAGUGUGCCUCUGGUAGGUGCAGGCUGAGGUCACAGCCGCACUGGGGAUGCUCCCUCACUAGUGGCAUGCAUCUUGCUGCGUCAGACAGGGCACCAAGGACUCAUACUGCUGUAAUACAACCUAGCCUCCGGCAAGCCAUACUAUACCAGGUAAGUGUGUUUUUCCUUGGUAUCUGUGCAUAGGCUGGUAGAAUGGUACCUGAAGCUAUGGCAGCCAAAGCCCUUAACCUCUUCAUUAUUAUUUUUAAACCUGCUUAGUGAGUAAACGCCGCGACAAACCCCAGCUGGGCGGCGUGGUGCAAAGCUGGCACAGCACCGGCUGAGUAUCGGCCGCAGCAGUGGCAGUGCAGCAGCAUUGCUGCUCGCGAGUCGUGUCGGGGUGUCGGGUUUGCUCGAGGCCAAGACAAGAGCGGGUGUUAGGGGCUGAGCCGUGGAACAUACUGCAACCCCACCAGCAGGGGCUUGCCUGAAGUCCUGCCCUCGCAAACAUUUACGCUGUAGCAGACGUGUGAGAUAUUGUGUGGCUGUGUUCCAAAGUGUGGGAUAAGAAGACAUGUAGAGGGCAUAUUAUCAUCUCCCUGACCAUUGCAGGUGCAAAGAAUUCGGUAACAAUAUUUGCUCUGGAGCCAAAUUGCUCUCAGACUCCCUCCAAUGUUUAUUCAGUUGAAGAGAAUUACCCAGCUUUUCAGCUGCACAACAAUCACCGGGUAAGAAUUCCCAGACAGCAUAUUUUUCUUUCUUUUAUUUUAUACCCUUUUGAAACAUUUGUCUAGACAUGUGACAGGGAAACCUCAAAUUGUUUGGUUGCAUAUUUGAAAGGUACCUGAACGUUUCCUCCCUCCAUCCAUCGCCCUGAGUGUAUUCAACCUGCCUCAGUUCCUUGUAAUUGGGCUGAAAGCCUCUGGAGAGCAACUUUUCUUGUAAGCUUUUCAUCUGCUUUUGGUUUGAAGGAGUUCAGCGAUCUCCCAACCAUCAGGACUUUUGCAAACACUUCACUGGUUCCGUCUCAAACCAAGAAGUACAAGGAAGCAUAAAACUGUAAAAAAAAAAAGUAACUAUAAUAAUAACAAAAGGACUCCACCCCCAAACCUUAACAUAACAGAAAAGUGUUUUUCAUUCCAACUAAAAAUAUAAAGAAGUCACUUGUAUGCAGUUCAAGGAAAGGAGCAAUCAUUUUUUAAGCUCUCUGAACCAGAAGCUUCAUGCCAGUAGCACGCUGCCCUGAGGACAGCGGUGUGUAGCACUGCCAAUACAGCCCUGUGAGACAGGCACACAGGACACGUCACUGGUACAGAUCCUGCUUGUGGUUAUAGGCUGUUUGCUGGUCUGAAUGCACGCAGUUAGCCUGAUCCAUUUGAUUUCAGUGGCAUUUCACACGGAUGCAAAAGUCUAUCACAGACCUUUCAGUAGCUGAAUCACUAAACAUUUUCGUGCUUUAAAAUAAUUUCAGACUCCAGCUGUUUACUGGAAAUAGUUUUAAAAAGGCAAUCAAGAUAAUAUAAUAUCAAUAAUAAUCAAGAUAAUUGCAUUAUCUGGUAGUCCAUUUUAUUACUUAUUCGACCAACCAGAGAUGUCGUACCCUCUAAGCAAUGAAAUAUCCAGCAGCUCAUUUUUAUUCAUAUUUUUCAAUUAGCCAUCUAUAAAAAAUCAUUGCAAAACUCAACUCUUCUCUUCAGAGUCACAUCCUCUGGCUGUGCCAGGCAGUGCAAUAAUUCAAAGAGGGGCAGCCCUAGGAGAGAGCUAGAUUGGGUGAGGAAGUAAACUGCAAUGCUGCAGCCUCACUGCAACUGAAUCCUUACUGCCAAAGGCCAAGUAAGGGGAAGGCCAAUACUGCAGCACCAUAUUAACACUGCAAGAUUAUCAUUUCCAUUCCAUUCAAAUUAAAAGAAAAAAAAAAGUAUUUCUUUGGCUUGAUAAAUCCCAUACGUCCUUCCCACCCAUUUCCAUUUUAAUGCAAAAAUAGAAGCACUCUACUUAGAUCUUGUUUCCAAGCUGGCAGGAGAAGUCCCUGUGUUGGUUGGUAGUGCUACAAUGCGUUAGGCUGCGACGCAGCUCUGGCUGUCUUUAUUUCAUUACUUUUUUCUUUCCCCUCAACACAUCGAGUACUGAGAGCUGGUUCUUCACUUGGUGUCAAUGGCAAAGCCUUGGCUCUUCUAGAGGAGGAAGCCCAAACCCGUAGCUAAUGCAAAUCACCAGCGUUGGGUAUUGUUACUGAGAAAACAUUCUGU